ACAAUGGAGAGUUUGAUCCUGGCUCAGGAUGAACGCUAGCGGCAGGCUUAAUACAUGCAAGUCGAGGGGCAGCAUGACUGUAGCAAUACAGUUGAUGGCG
RNAcentral lists this ribosomal RNA (100 nucleotides) under Chitinophagaceae bacterium. Its description in RNAcentral is "partial 16S ribosomal RNA". It matches the Rfam family "Bacterial small subunit ribosomal RNA", at positions 1 to 100 of the family's 1533-position model. Lineage: Bacteria; Pseudomonadati; Bacteroidota; Chitinophagia; Chitinophagales; Chitinophagaceae. The record is from RNAcentral.